This 483-nucleotide long non-coding RNA is filed under the name Chelonus insularis. RNAcentral describes it as "uncharacterized LOC118075106, transcript variant X1". The record is from RNAcentral. Lineage: Eukaryota; Metazoa; Arthropoda; Insecta; Hymenoptera; Braconidae.
UGACCUCCGAUUACUGACAUGUUGACCCAAAAUACCGACAUGUUGACCGAAACUUACAUUGUGUCUCUCUUCUCUGUUAUUCAUACGUAGCUUGAUAAGCAUUAAUUAAAUCAUGCAACAAUCACAAAAACGUCAAAAAAUUUCGGAUGAAUUGAAUUUAGAAGAUUUGGCAGCUUCUAUCGAAUCACUUGCUGGUACGAUCAAAAAUAUUGGUCAGAUUCAUGGAUAUUUAUUAACAAUGAAUAAAGCAAUUGUCAAUUAUUACCAAGAAGUAAACAAACUUGAAACAACAAAUUCGAAAACUUCUGGAGAAAAUAUCGAAAUUGAUGGACAAUAAAAUAUUGAUAGGUUCAUCUUUAUGUUUUCUCCUUGGAUCCGACGCAUCAAGAGUUAUUAUAAUUGGAUGUUCUCUUUGAUUUGUUCGUCUCAGUGAGUAGUCAACCCUUCUAUCAUUUUCAUACCAUUCUUGAACGGAAAAUCCUC